CCUGAUGCAGCAACGCCGCGUGAGGGAUGACGGCCUUCGGGUUGUAAACCUCUUUUAGUAGGGAAGAAGCGAAAGUGACGGUACCUGCAGAAAAAGCACCGGCUAACUACGUGCCAGCAGCCGCGGUAAUACGUAGGGUGCAAGCGUUGUCCGGAAUUAUUGGGCGUAAAGAGCUCGUAGGCGGUUUGUCGCGUCUGCUGUGAAAUCUGGGGGCUCAACCCCCAGCCUGCAGUGGGUACGGGCAGACUAGAGUGCGGUAGGGGAGAUUGGAAUUCCUGGUGUAGCGGUGGAAUGCGCAGAUAUCAGGAGGAACACCGAUGGCGAAGGCAGAUCUCUGGGCCGUAACUGACGCUGAGGAGCGAAAGCAUGGGGAGCGAACAGGAUUAGAUACCCUGGUAGUCCAUGCCGUAAACGUUGGGAACUAGAUGUGGGGGCCAUUCCACGGUCUCCGUGUCGCAGCUAACGCAUUAAGUUCCCCGCCUGGGGAGUACGGCCGCAAGGCUAAAACUCAAAGGAAUUGACGGGGGCCCGCACAAGCGGCGGAGCAUGCGGAUUAAUUCGAUGCAACGCGAAGAACCUUACCAAGGCUUGACAUAUACCGGAAACGUCCAGAGAUGGUCGCCCCGCAAGGUC
This 633-nucleotide ribosomal RNA is filed under the name Frigoribacterium sp. Ri2Pt_3991. Its description in RNAcentral is "bacterial SSU rRNA". It matches the Rfam family "Bacterial small subunit ribosomal RNA", at positions 382 to 1028 of the family's 1533-position model. The record is from RNAcentral. Lineage: Bacteria; Bacillati; Actinomycetota; Actinomycetes; Micrococcales; Microbacteriaceae.